CUCGAUUUCCUGAUUAUUUUCGGAUUUACUGAAUUCCGUACAUUGCCGCAUGAAAUCCGUCGCCGGUUGACGAAUUAUUGCUUUCAUAUUUCUCAAAGCAGUUUGAUUGUUUUGCAAAAUUUUCUUUUCAAUUGAAUAACGGUGUCGUUGAAUUUUACAUUUGGUGAUGGAUGAUUCUAAAACAAGCAAGACGAACUCGAAGGGAGAGAAAUUUGUGAAAAAAAGCAGACGGCCGG
Molecule: non-coding RNA, 236 nt
Organism: Paramuricea clavata
Lineage: Eukaryota; Metazoa; Cnidaria; Anthozoa; Malacalcyonacea; Plexauridae
Source: the annotation of a GenBank genome assembly